UACGUAGGUGGCAAGCGUUAUCCGGAAUUAUUGGGCGUAAAGCGCGCGCAGGUGGUUUCUUAAGUCUGAUGUGAAAGCCCACGGCUCAACCGUGGAGGGUCAUUGGAAACUGGGAGACUUGAGUGCAGAAGAGGAAAGUGGAAUUCCCGGUGUAGUGGUGAAAUGCGUAGAUAUCGGGAGGAACACCAGUGGCGAAGGCGACUUCCUGGCCUGUUCUUGACGCUGAGGCGCGAAAGCUAGGGGAGCAAACGGG
RNAcentral lists this ribosomal RNA (253 nucleotides) under uncultured bacterium. Its description in RNAcentral is "partial 16S ribosomal RNA". It matches the Rfam family "Bacterial small subunit ribosomal RNA", at positions 524 to 776 of the family's 1533-position model. The record is from RNAcentral.